GAUGAAGAACGUAGCAAAAUGCGAUAAGUAAUGUGAAUUGCAGAAUUCAGUGAAUCAUCGAAUCUUUGAACGCACAUUGCGCCCGCUGGUAUUCCGGCGGGCAUGCCUGUUCGAGCGUCAUUUCAACCCUCAAGCCCCCGGGUUUGGUGUUGGGGAUCGGCUCUGCCCUUCUGGGCGGUGCCGCCCCCGAAAUACAUUGGCGGUCUCGCUGCAGCCCCCAUUGCGUAGUAGCUAACACCUCGCAACUGGAACGCGGCGCGGCCAUGCCGUAAAACCCCAACUUCUGAAUGUUGACCUCGGAUCAGGUAGGAAUACCCGCUGAACUUAAGCAUAUCAAUAAGCGGAGGA
Molecule: unclassified non-coding RNA, 348 nt
Filed under: soil metagenome
Description: partial contains 5.8S ribosomal RNA, internal transcribed spacer 2, and large subunit ribosomal RNA
Rfam family: 5.8S ribosomal RNA (bases 1-120)
Source: RNAcentral